GUCAAAGGUCAUCUGAUAGGGAAUAAGCAUCUAAAGCUUGCUAAAGUGUCAUUAUUAAAGCAGAAGAAACCAUGAGUGCUGUUGAGUCUCAUAUCAGUGUGUGUGAGUGUCGUGGAGUUUGUGUUCAUCUGAGUGUGACGGAGGUUUUUGUACGACGCUUUCACUAGAAUGAAGCACUGUGGUACACUUUUGGUGGAGGAACUAAACUGACCAUCACUGGUCCCGCAGUGAAGCCCUCCGUGUCUCUGCUGCCUUCCUCUUCUCUGCAGAUCUCUGGAGACUCAGCCGCACUGCUCUGCCUGCUCAGCUCUUACUCUCCACAGGGGGCGCAGGUGAGCUGGACGCUGGACGGGUCAGAGGUCACCGAGGGGGUUCAGACCAGCGCAGAGAGCGAGCGGGACGGACGCUACAGCCGCAGCAGCGUCCUGAGCCUCAGCAAAGCACGCUGGGAAGACGGCGAGCGCUUCGUCUGCAGAGUAACACAUGACGGAGCUGCUCAGGAGGCCUCGUUCCUCAAGAGCUCCGAGUGCUGAUGUUUCUCCAGUGAAGAGCAGCAGGAUUCACAGCAGUCUCCUGAUUUACAGCUCAAUACUCAAGCAGUCUUUCAAUGUGCUGCCAUUGCUGUUCAUUCAAUAAAGCUUCUGAACGCCUUACAUUUGUGUUCGACUGCAUCAUUGAUCAGUGUGUCCUUCCUUCACUAAAGUUUCAG
Sinocyclocheilus grahami is the source of this 709-nucleotide long non-coding RNA. RefSeq lists it as uncharacterized. The transcript is spliced from 3 exons. Lineage: Eukaryota; Metazoa; Chordata; Actinopteri; Cypriniformes; Cyprinidae. The record is from RefSeq and is a predicted model, not a curated record.